GAUGAACGCUGGCGGCGUGCCUAAUACAUGCAAGUAGAACGCUGAAGGAAGGAGCUUGCUCUUUCCGGAUGAGUUGCGAACGGGUGAGUAACGCGUAGGUAACCUGCCUGGUAGCGGGGGAUAACUAUUGGAAACGAUAGCUAAUACCGCAUAACAGUAGAUGUUGCAUGACAACUAUUUGAAAGGGGCAAUUGCUCCACUACCAGAUGGACCUGCGUUGUAUUAGCUAGUUGGUGAGGUAACGGCUCACCAAGGCGACGAUACAUAGCCGACCUGAGAGGGUGAUCGGCCACACUGGGACUGAGACACGGCCCAGACUCCUACGGGAGGCAGCAGUAGGGAAUCUUCGGCAAUGGACGGAAGUCUGACCGAGCAACGCCGCGUGAGUGAAGAAGGUUUUCGGAUCGUAAAGCUCUGUUGUAAGAGAAGAACGAGUGUGAGAGUGGAAAGUUCACACCGUGACGGUAUCUUACCAGAAAGGGACGGCUAACUACGUG
RNAcentral lists this ribosomal RNA (497 nucleotides) under uncultured bacterium. RNAcentral's name for it is "partial 16S ribosomal RNA". It matches the Rfam family "Bacterial small subunit ribosomal RNA", at positions 28 to 507 of the family's 1533-position model. The record is from RNAcentral.